RNAcentral lists this ribosomal RNA (774 nucleotides) under uncultured Streptococcus sp. Its description in RNAcentral is "bacterial SSU rRNA". It matches the Rfam family "Bacterial small subunit ribosomal RNA", at positions 28 to 776 of the family's 1533-position model. Lineage: Bacteria; Bacillati; Bacillota; Bacilli; Lactobacillales; Streptococcaceae. The record is from RNAcentral.
GACGAACGCUGGCGGCGUGCCUAAUACAUGCAAGUAGAACGCACAGGAUGCACCGUAGUUUACUACACCGUAUUCUGUGAGUUGCGAAACGGGUGAGUAACGCGUAGGUAACCUGCCUGGUAGCGGGGGAUAACUAUUGGAGACGAUAGCUAAUACCGCAUAAGAACAUUUACUGCAUGGUAGAUGUUUAAAAGGUGCAAGAGCAUCACUACCAGAUGGACCUGCGUUGUAUUAGCUAGUUGGUGAGGUAACGGCUCACCAAGGCAACGAUACAUAGCCGACCUGAGAGGGUGAUCGGCCACACUGGGACUGAGACACGGCCCAGACUCCUACGGGAGGCAGCAGUAGGGAAUCUUCGGCAAUGGGGGAAACCCUGACCGAGCAACGCCGCGUGAGUGAAGAAGGUUUUCGGAUCGUAAAGCUCUGUUGUUAAGGAAGAACGUGUGUGAGAGUGGAAAGUUCACACAGUGACGGUACUUAACCAGAAAGGGACGGCUAACUACGUGCCAGCAGCCGCGGUAAUACGUAGGUCUCGAGCGUUGUCCGGAUUUAUUGGGCGUAAAGCGAGCGCAGGCGGUUAGAUAAGUCUGAAGUGAAAGGCAGUGGCUCAACCAUUGUAGGCUUUGGAAACUGUUUAACUUGAGUGCAGAAGGGGAGAGUGGAAUUCCAUGUGUAGCGGUGAAAUGCGUAGAUAUAUGGAGGAACACCGGUGGCGAAAGCGGCUCUCUGGUCUGUAACUGACGCUGAGGCUCGAAAGCGUGGGGAGCGAACAGG